This 442-nucleotide ribosomal RNA is filed under the name Thereva major. Its description in RNAcentral is "partial 16S ribosomal RNA". It matches the Rfam family "Bacterial large subunit ribosomal RNA", at positions 1925 to 2577 of the family's 2925-position model. Lineage: Eukaryota; Metazoa; Arthropoda; Insecta; Diptera; Therevidae. The record is from RNAcentral.
AAAUGGCCGCAGUAUUUUAACUGUGCAAAGGUAGCAUAAUCAUUAGUCUUUUAAUUGAAGGCUUGUAUGAACGGUUGGACGAGAUAUUAACUGUUUCAUAAAAAUUGAGUUAGAAUUUUAUUUUUUAGUUAAAAAGCUAAAAUUUUUUUAAAAGACGAGAAGACCCUAUAGAUCUUUAUAUUUUGUAUAUUAUAAUUAUUUAGAUUACUUAAGUUAUGAUUAUAUAAAGUAUUUUGUUGGGGUGACAUUAAAAUUUAAUUAACUUUUAAUUAAUAUUUACAUUAAUUUAUGAAUUUUUGAUCCAUUAAUAAUGAUUAAAAAAUUAAGUUACCUUAGGGAUAACAGCGUAAUUUUUUUGAAGAGUUCAUAUCGAUAAAAAAGAUUGCGACCUCGAUGUUGGAUUAAGAUAUAAUUUUGGGUGCAGCAAUUCAACUAUUAAGUC